This 707-nucleotide ribosomal RNA is filed under the name uncultured Enterobacteriaceae bacterium. RNAcentral's name for it is "bacterial SSU rRNA". It matches the Rfam family "Bacterial small subunit ribosomal RNA", at positions 794 to 1502 of the family's 1533-position model. Lineage: Bacteria; Pseudomonadati; Pseudomonadota; Gammaproteobacteria; Enterobacterales; Enterobacteriaceae. The record is from RNAcentral.
GUCACGCUGUAAACGAUGUCGAUUUGGAGUUUGUUGCCUAGAGUGAUGGGCUCCGAAGCUAACGCGAUAAAUCGACCGCUGGGGAGUACGGCCGCAAGGUUAAAACUCAAAUGAAUUGACGGGGGCCCGCACAAGCGGUGGAGCAUGUGGUUUAAUUCGAUGCAACGCGAAGAACCUUACCUGGUCUUGACAUCCAUAGAAUUCUGCAGAGAUGUGGGAGUGCCUUCGGGAACUAUGAGACAGGUGCUGCAUGGCUGUCGUCAGCUCGUGUUGUGAAAUGUUGGGUUAAGUCCCGCAACGAGCGCAACCCUUAUUCUUUGUUGCCAGCGAUUUGGUCGGGAACUCAAAGGAGACUGCCGUUGAUAAAGCGGAGGAAGGUGGGGACGACGUCAAGUCAUCAUGGCCCUUACGACCAGGGCUACACACGUGCUACAAUGGCGUAUACAAAGGGAGGCGAAGGUGCGAGCUGGAGCGGAUCUCAUAAAGUACGUCUAAGUUCGGAUUGGAGUCUGCAACUCGACUCCAUGAAGUCGGAAUCGCUAGUAAUCGUAGAUCAGAAUGCUACGGUGAAUACGUUCCCGGGCCUUGUACACACCGCCCGUCACACCAUGGGAGUGGGUUGCACCAGAAGUAGAUAGCUUAACCGCGAGGGGGGCGUUUACCACGGUGUGAUUCAUGACUGGGGUGAAGUCGUAACAAGGUAACCA